This is a long non-coding RNA of Falco tinnunculus (common kestrel), 1555 nucleotides long. Lineage: Eukaryota; Metazoa; Chordata; Aves; Falconiformes; Falconidae. The record is from Ensembl.
CCGGGCUGUUGUACCUCCCACCCUGUGGAACAGGCAGGUGAAUUGUUGCUGUGUGCCUCCGUGCUGGCUGUGUGGAGGAUUCACCCCGGUGAACAAUGUUGCCACGAGCAAUAGGAAUGGAAGGAAGGGAAGAAGUAGUCCCCCUUGGUCUUCCCCAAACCAGUGCCCCGCACCGCUUGGUUCUUGGGUGCCUGCAGCCACCUGCCACUGCUGCAGCCAGCAGGUAUCCCAGAAACAACGGCAUCAGGAUCCAGUUUCUGCAGCGUGCUUUGAGAUCCCUGACCUGCCAACCAGAAUGCUCUCCCACUCUGCAUCUGAACAUACUGCUGGGUGAGAGAGGUGCUGGUGCCCCUGGUUAUGGGUGAAGGGAACUGGGGCAGCAAGGCAAAGUGAUGUGGGGGUGUCACUGGCUGGGGUCAGAGCUGCCUGCAGUGGGGUCAGCCCUCGUCCUGCAGAGCUGGGCUGUGUGCUGGGCCAGCUUAGCCCCACCUCACGCUUGCAAAACCCCAGGACAGCAUCAGUUUUUGAUCUACUGCCUCGUUGCCAAACCAUUAACUUUUCCAGUUUAAACGUUUAAUACGAUGGCCUUAUUUUGAAGACUGCCAGCUGAGCUGCCUCUGCUUAGGACUAUCAUUUCCAACUGUUCCCUGGCAAGAUGCUUUCUCAAAUGAUUUAAAACAAAAUAAUCAAAGUUGUAACCACAUCUGUGGCUGCCUUUAUCUCUGGGAGCAGGGAAAAUUAGCUUGGGGGCUGUGAAGUGCUUUCUGAAAUGGAAGUCUUCUCCUGCAGACAGCACAGCUCCUGGUGGUGGAAAGACCAGCCGCUAAUGUGGCUCUCGCUGGAAUUCCUGGCACUGGUUGCUGUGGCUGCGUGAAAAGAGCAGCCUAAAAGCCACCUGAUUUAGGCUGUUAUCCUAAAUCAGCUGUGAGUUCUCUUUAUGCACACCAUUCAGCUGUGCUGAUACAUUGGCAGGCCGACCCAGUAAGGAGCUCUAUAGUGUUAGUGAGUGAUUUUGCCUAAAUGCUUCUCUGUUUCUAUUAGCUCUUCCUCGGCAGCAGUAUCGCUCCUCCGCCCUUUCCUAGCACAGCUGGCAGAGGAGGAAACAAUACAAAUGUUUGCCUCAGUGGAAGAGAAAAGCAAAGGUACAGAGCGCAUCUGGAGCCGUCUCCUGUGCAUUGCUCCUGAAUUAUCAGGCCAAAUUGUCUGCUGGUGUAAAAAAAAAAACCAUCCCCCUCAAUGGCAUACCAAUGAGGGUUACACCUUUUUAUUGCAGCUGAGGCUCUGUCCCCGUCAUCUCUAGGAAAAGUUGAUUAGGUCCAGUGGAUUGCUGACUUCUUUUAUGAAGAAGCUGUAAAAAGUUCUUUUCUUCUGCUAGUGCUUCUCUCUGGGGAGUUGUUGGCAGAGAGAGGCAAGUCUCUCAGCAAUAAUACAUUUCAAAGUUAUUAUGCCAGCAGAAAAGAAACACAAGGAUUUGAACUUGGUAAUAUAUAUUUUUUUAGGACAGGCCAGAACACUAAAGGGACCCUUGCGCCCCUGCACUGCACAGACCUCCCUG